AGACCAGUGACGCAGCGGUUAGCGUACCGAUCUUAUAUGGAAACCGCUUCCUUAACCAAUAGGAGUGAUUCUGUAUGAUCCAUCGUUCUCGAAUGUCGGGAGUCGUGGGUUCGAAUCCCACCUGGUCUA
Molecule: non-coding RNA, 129 nt
Organism: Arachnomyces sp. PD_36
Lineage: Eukaryota; Fungi; Ascomycota; Eurotiomycetes; Onygenales; Arachnomycetaceae
Source: the annotation of a GenBank genome assembly